GGCUCGAAGGAAAUCAGCACAAGUUAGAUGAGAGAUAUCAUGAGUUACUUCAAAGAACCCUUUAGCACUAGCACCUCUAGCAUGAACCACACGCUCUGGAAUGCGUUCCCUGUCGAAAUUUGCUAGCUUCUCCACCAAAUGAUAAUCCUCAAGCAGAAUUGGGCCUGCCAAAGAACCAGUAAUUUCACCUCCAGUUGGUUUUAUAUGAAUACAAGUCUACAGAGAAACAAGAUAUGGCUCGCAAACUGAAAAUUCCUGUACCUCUGGACCCAACAGUGAGGGAAUUGUUAUUAUUCCAGACAGGGGCACCAGAGUUUGUGGUGAAGAAUGAGGAAUUGUGGGCGCUUGAUGGACGAAACUUGUAAGGAUCCAUGAUGAUGUUUUAGAAGAAGAGAGACCGAGACGAGAGGGAAUAAGGUGUCGAUCAGGUAGAGCACAAGUAAGGGGCAGGUUGAAAAAAGCUCUGUUUAAUGUUUAUAUUUAUCUUCUUCUGCUAACUUGAAUGGCCGCGUGGCGAGCUACUAGUCACUUGCCCCACUAAAAAUCUAUACACUGAAACUGAAAACGCCCUCACGAGAAACUUCUAUUCUUUUAAAUUAAUCCAUUAAUUAAAAUAAUCUAUUUUUAUAAUAAAAUAAAAUUAUACAGCUUGAACAUCCAAAAACUUCAUAUUCUCAUAUUCCAGUAAAAUACGAGCAACGGAUAGGAAACGAUAAUUGGAAAAUGAAAAAAUGGAAGGAUUUAUGAGAACACUAUGCGUCCACUUAUCUUUAUCAGAGUUUCUGUGGUUUUCUCUGAAAGCUGAUGAAGAAGAUUGUUAUGCAGCAGAGAAUGAAGGAGGGCCUUGAAAAUCAGGCUCAUGAAGAAGAUUAUUUGUGUAGUUUUAUGGAAAAGGGUAAAUGCUUCCAAAGUUGGAAGCAACUUUCGUAAGGCCAGCCAUU
Molecule: unclassified non-coding RNA, 941 nt
Filed under: Hevea brasiliensis (rubber tree)
Lineage: Eukaryota; Viridiplantae; Streptophyta; Magnoliopsida; Malpighiales; Euphorbiaceae
Source: RNAcentral